This 2170-nucleotide ribosomal RNA is filed under the name Triticum aestivum (bread wheat). RNAcentral describes it as "partial small subunit ribosomal RNA". The record is from RNAcentral. Lineage: Eukaryota; Viridiplantae; Streptophyta; Magnoliopsida; Poales; Poaceae.
UACUGGCGCCGGGGCGGCAGGGCGGGACGGGCGAGAGCGGGCAGGGCGGCGGGGCGGCAGAGCGGGCGGGGUGGAGGGGCGGGGCGGGNNGAGCGGGCAGGGCGGCGGGGCGNNCGGUACCGGUACCGGCUACUGGCGCCGGGGCGGCAGGGCGGGACGGGCGGCGCCGCCGGUACCUGCCAGGAACGACGCGGCGUAGGGGGCGGCCAGGAGGAAGAGGAGGAGGGCGUGCGCGCGGCGCGGGAGUGGAGAGAGAGAGAGGGAAGGUAGGGACGUGGCGCGGGCGGAGGGUCGGGGCGGCGGCAGGUCCAGGUCGGGGUGCGGUGACAGCAGAAGAAACGGGUCGCCGGCGGCGGCGUGGCGUACGAGCACACAUCCCCGCUCUUCCCCUUGGUGGCGGGCGGGGGCCUCGCACUCUCCACUCUGUCGCGGGUCUAGGUGCCGCUGUAGCUGCGCGGCAGCAGCUGGACUCGGCGAUACCAGAGUGGGACGACAUGAGGAAGGGGAGGUGCCGAGGAUCGAGCCCGUUGUUGUUCGGUAGAGUUCCCUCACCUAAGAGUUCAGUGGGGUGAAGGUUAGGUACCUGCGGUAGGUGUUCCUGGUUCUACUGCUGCGCGUGUAGGAGGGAGAGGCUCGACGUUCGUGGGAGGUACCUACUCCUGCUGUUGGUCCCGUAGGUACCAGCUGUCGAGCUACCGAGGAGCCCAUUCUUUGUGGGGGUGUACCGGCGAAGUCAAAAGUUGCGAAAGAAAAGACAAACACACCCGACUUUUACACACUCGAAAUAUACCGUGUUCCCACACGUAAGUGACUACUUAGUAAUAUAGAAACUAUAAUGCUUACACACUUCAGACUUGGGAGGAUACAUGCUGCUACACAUAUAAGACAUUUUACACAUAAAAGUAGUAAACAGACUGUCAGAUUAUGACUCGAAUUUGUACAUGAGAACCUACUAUACGCACUCAACACCUGAAGGACGGGAAAUAGUGUUUAGAUGUCCUCUUGGAUGAGCCGCCAGGACUACAACGUGAGCCGUCGCCGCGGCCUCCACCGUAGCAGAACAAAGUCUAAAUGACUUAACCGGUACUUCCCACCGACUCGGUAGUCCUCGCCGUCGCCACCGGACGCCGCCUGCGACGACACCGAGGGACAAGAAGUAGCGGACGCAGAUGGACGAGACACGGCUGGGGUAUACACGUCCUUCUUUUCCCGGUAUUCUAACAUGUCCGUCUUGUCCUACAACAAGACAAGUUGGUGUAACGGGGACCAUUUGUGCUAUAUACCAACGUUUCCAACUUCUUCUCAUACAGCUAGGCCUCGGAUGCGUUGGAUAUAAUGGUGGGGGCCGGUUGUUCUAGGGCCCGGGACGACCCUCUAGUUUCCGACCUUCACGUACGUUCUCCCGUACAAUUAGUCCGUCUAAUAGUAAGUUUCACACCUAGAUACUACGAACACCGCGUCCAUAUAUAUGAUCUUCAACAAUACCGAGUGAAGGUAAAUAUAGUACAACUGUGCCGCUUAGUCGACCAAUCUUAAGACAUAUAAAAAGAAGUGGAACACUCUCCGUGCAGAAAGUUGGUUCUUACAGUGGUCACUGAUAGGCCUCCUGUACCGUCUCAACGACAUAGUGAAUGACUACGAGAAUACCAUUUGACAUGUUAUAAUUCCACAACCCGGGUCUUUGUCCUGCUCAUUAGGAGAAAGUUCUCGUGUGUCAUUUAUGUUGUAUCGUGUCUCGUCAUCGGAAACCUCGUCCAAUGUCAAAGAUGAACCACAACCUUCCUAAACCUCGUCCGAUGUAGAUACUACUGUGUCUAACCAAUACGUCCUAGAGAACCGAUUUAGGAAGACGAAAUGGUAAUCCUGUUGUUUAUCACCAAUGAAGAGUAGACUCGAACUCGACACCACUUACGCUGGCUACAAAGCUGGCGUAUACUUCUACAUCAAGAAAACCAAAUAGUUGAUUAUAAUAGCAUAUAUCUGCACUACGGACAUGUCUCCGCUAAACUUAGUCAUACCAUCGUCUGAUGGAACAAGAAUAGUAUUUAAUGCACACUAGUGGUGAUACUCUGUCAGGAAGUCUACCUAAAUGGUGAAGUACCAAUAACAUUUAAUACUUGCUUAAUACAUCAAAAUCAUAGCCAAGAAAUUAGAUGAAGGAAACGUACAC